Molecule: ribosomal RNA, 251 nt
Filed under: uncultured bacterium
Lineage: Bacteria
Description: partial 16S ribosomal RNA
Rfam family: Bacterial small subunit ribosomal RNA
Source: RNAcentral
GAUCAUGGCUCAGGAUGAACGCUGGCGGCGUGCUUAAUACAUGCAAGUCGAACGAAGCACCUUGGACAGAAUCCUUCGGGAGGAAGACCAUUGUGACUGAGUGGCGGACGGGUGAGUAACGCGUGGGUAACCUGCCUUGUACAGGGGGAUAACAGUUGGAAACGACUGCUAAUACCGCAUAAGCGCACAGUACCGCACGUACGGUGUGAAAACUACCGUGGUACGAAGAUGGACCCGGCCGUCUGAUUAAG